This 982-nucleotide ribosomal RNA is filed under the name Francisella tularensis subsp. holarctica. RNAcentral describes it as "bacterial SSU rRNA". It matches the Rfam family "Bacterial small subunit ribosomal RNA", at positions 1 to 978 of the family's 1533-position model. Lineage: Bacteria; Pseudomonadati; Pseudomonadota; Gammaproteobacteria; Thiotrichales; Francisellaceae. The record is from RNAcentral.
AUUAAACUGAAGAGUUUGAUCCUGGCUCAGAUUGAACGCUGGUGGCAUGCUUAACACAUGCAAGUCGAACGGUAACAGGUCUUAGGAUGCUGACGAGUGGCGGACGGGUGAGUAACGCGUAGGAAUCUGCCCAUUUGAGGGGGAUACCAGUUGGAAACGACUGUUAAUACCGCAUAAUAUCUGUGGAUUAAAGGUGGCUUUCGGGCUGUCGCAGAUGGAUGAGCCUGCGUUGGAUUAGCUAGUUGGUGGGGUAAGGGCCCACCAAGGCUACGAUCCAUAGCUGAUUUGAGAGGAUGAUCAGCCACAUUGGGACUGAGACACGGCCCAAACUCCUACGGGAGGCAGCAGUGGGGAAUAUUGGACAAUGGGGGCAACCCUGAUCCAGCAAUGCCAUGUGUGUGAAGAAGGCCCUAGGGUUGUAAAGCACUUUAGUUGGGGAGGAAAGCCUCAAGGUUAAUAGCCUUGGGGGAGGACGUUACCCAAAGAAUAAGCACCGGCUAACUCCGUGCCAGCAGCCGCGGUAAUACGGGGGGUGCAAGCGUUAAUCGGAAUUACUGGGCGUAAAGGGUCUGUAGGUGGUUUGUUAAGUCAGAUGUGAAAGCCCAGGGCUCAACCUUGGAACUGCAUUUGAUACUGGCAAACUAGAGUACGGUAGAGGAAUGGGGAAUUUCUGGUGUAGCGGUGAAAUGCGUAGAGAUCAGAAGGAACACCAAUGGCGAAGGCAACAUUCUGGACCGAUACUGACACUGAGGGACGAAAGCGUGGGGAUCAAACAGGAUUAGAUACCCUGGUAGUCCACGCUGUAAACGAUGAGUACUAGCUGUUGGAGUCGGUGUAAAGGCUCUAGUGGCGCAGCUAACGCGAUAAGUACUCCGCCUGGGGACUACGGCCGCAAGGCUAAAACUCAAAGGAAUUGACGGGGACCCGCACAAGCGGUGGAGCAUGUGGUUUAAUUCGAUGCAACGCGAAGAACCUUACCUGG